UAGACGCUGGCGGCGUGCCUAACACAUGCAAGUCGAGCGGCAGCGCGGGGGCAACCCUGGCGGCGAGCGGCGGACGGGUGAGCAAUACAUAGGAAUCUGCCUCAGAGCGGGGGAUAGCCAGGGGAAACCCUGAUUAAUACCGCAUGAUGUCGAGAGACCAAAGUGGGGGACCGUAAGGCCUCACACUCUGAGAUGAGCCUAUGUCGGCUUAGCUAGUUGGCGGGGUAACGGCCCACCAAGGCGACGAUCCGUAGCUGGUCUGAGAGGACGAUCAGCCACACCGGAACUGAGACACGGUCCGGACUCCUACGGGAGGCAGCAGUGGGGAAUAUUGGACAAUGGGCGAAAGCCUGAUCCAGCGACGCCGCGUGGGUGAAGAAGGCCUUCGGGUUGUAAAGCCCUUUAAGCCGGGACGAAAAAGCUACACCUAACACGUGUGGCCUUGACGGUACCGGAAGAAUAAGCACCGGCUAACUCUGUGCCAGCAGCCGCGGUAAUACAGAGGGUGCAAGCGUUAAUCGGAUUUACUGGGCCGUAAAGCGUGUGUAGGUUGGNUUUCCUAAGUCCGGUUGUGAAAAUUCCUUGGGCU
Molecule: ribosomal RNA, 589 nt
Filed under: uncultured bacterium
Lineage: Bacteria
Description: bacterial SSU rRNA
Rfam family: Bacterial small subunit ribosomal RNA
Source: RNAcentral